This 671-nucleotide long non-coding RNA is filed under the name Anser brachyrhynchus (Pink-footed goose). Its description in RNAcentral is "lncRNA (ENSABRG00000014971.1)". The record is from RNAcentral. Lineage: Eukaryota; Metazoa; Chordata; Aves; Anseriformes; Anatidae.
AGUAUUUCUUGGAAGUGUGGAGAGAGAUUGUAUUCAUUAACCAGCGUUUUUCUGCUUUUGCUUGUAAAGUACUUCAUAGAAGAAAAAAAAAAUGAUUUUGCUUGAAAGUACUCUCAAAAGACUAAGAUACCUAAAGCUGGGCCAGAAAUGGUUUUAGGAGAGGGAGGAAAAGGAAAUAGCUAAGAGACUGCAUUCAAAUGUCAUUUUUCACUGCAUUUUUAUCUUUUCUAUACAGUUCUGAAACAGAAGCUUUUACUUAAACAUCAUAGAUUUGCCUUGAAUAUUGACUGCAUGGUGCUCUGCUUAGACCUCUGCAUCCUGCUUGUACAAAAUUUCUACAGGUUCUGUGAGGAAUUCAUUCAAGCCUAAUGACACUGUGUCCUAAAGGGUAAGGUGUAAUGAAUAGUUUUUUUUAGUGGUAUUAGGCUUUCAUAUAGUGAGGCACGUUUCUUUCUCACUUGGGUACAAUCUCAUGAGGACCUGAGGACCAUUGCCUUGCAGACUUGGCUCUGCAAAGAUGUUCUUAGCAGGAGCUGGGAACUCCUGUAUUGCUCACAGAUAAGAUAAAACCCUGAUAACCAACAGUCUUGGUUAUCAGCAUACCAGUGCUGGUAAAAGAAAGAGUAACUAAUACUGUUAAAAGAAAGGGUAACAGUUUCUUUCGUGCCAGU